Lathyrus oleraceus (garden pea) is the source of this 762-nucleotide long non-coding RNA. RefSeq lists it as uncharacterized. Lineage: Eukaryota; Viridiplantae; Streptophyta; Magnoliopsida; Fabales; Fabaceae. The record is from RefSeq and is a predicted model, not a curated record. The transcript has 2 exons.
UGAUGCGGUCCACCUGUGUUGACCGCUGGAUUUUUGUUCUGGUUUAUCCAUUGUGCACGUAUUCUUUGGUCAUUUCACAUCCUUUUCGUCCCAUAAGUUUCUUAUUACCUAAAAAAUAAAUAAAGCACCCAAACAUGCAUAAAAGUAGAAAAACAAGAGCUUAAACAUCUAAAACGUAACAAAAAACAACUAAUAUUAUGAUGUAUAAACCAUUUAUCAACCAUUGAUGAUGGGUUUGCACUUCCCAACAUCUAAUAUUAUGGAUCGUAUGCUCGUCUUUGUUGGACGGUAUUCGAGGAGUCAAGGGGUUUCCAUCUUUCAUUUCAUCCCUCAUAAAUCUUGAGAGCUCUUCUUUUCUGUUUGCAACCUCUAUCAUCUUUGUCAAUAUCAUUUGAUUGGCCGUUAUUUUGAUACAUUUGUGCCACCUUCUUUGGCAGAUCCUACAACAUGCGAGUCAGCAAGUUCAUCUUCUUUAAGGAGAUAACUCAGACAUGUGGGUAGAUCAAGAGACAUUAGAUAUUGUUUCCUUUUUCAUCAACAAGGAUUGUUUGGAUCAUGCCUUCACCGAGUUCGGUCUGUUAUUAUAGUUUAUUGAUUAAUUUUUGUAGGAAAUUGUUAAGAAAGAUGUCUUACUCUGUUACUGUCAUAUUAUUCAAUAUUAUUUUUUUUCAAAAACUAUGUACCUAAUUGUGUACCAAAAUAACAUUUCCUUUUCUUUAAAACCUAUAUUUAAGUCAAAAACGGGAUAACUACUUUGUAUCA